UUGGAAAGNUAAAGUCGUAACAAGGUUUCCGUAGGUGAACCUGCGGAAGGAUCAUUACAGAAUGAAAAGUGCUUAACUGCAUUUUUUCUUACACAUGUGUUUUUCUUUUUUUGAAAACUUUGCUUUGGUAGGCCUUCUAUAUGGGGCCUGCCAGAGAUUAAACUCAACCAAAUUUUAUUUAAUGUCAACCGAUUAUUUAAUAGUCAAAACUUUCAACAACGGAUCUCUUGGUUCUCGCAUCGAUGAAGAACGCAGCGAAAUGCGAUAAGUAAUAUGAAUUGCAGAUAUUCGUGAAUCAUCGAAUCUUUGAACGCACAUUGCGCCCUUUGGUAUUCCAAAGGGCAUGCCUGUUUGAGCGUCAUUUCUCCCUCAAACCCUCGGGUUUGGUGUUGAGCGAUACGCUGGGUUUGCUUGAAAGAAAGGCGGAGUAUAAACUAAUGGAUAGGUUUUUUCCACUCAUUGGUACAAACUCCAAAACUUCUUCCAAAUUCGACCUCAAAUCAGGUAGGACUACCCGCUGAACUUAAGCAUAUCAAUAGCCGGGAGGNA
This 549-nucleotide small RNA is filed under the name Lodderomyces parapsilosis. RNAcentral describes it as "eukaryotic LSU rRNA". The stretch from base 208 to 361 matches the Rfam family "5.8S ribosomal RNA". The record is from RNAcentral. Lineage: Eukaryota; Fungi; Ascomycota; Pichiomycetes; Serinales; Debaryomycetaceae.